Molecule: long non-coding RNA, 573 nt
Organism: Hyposmocoma kahamanoa
Lineage: Eukaryota; Metazoa; Arthropoda; Insecta; Lepidoptera; Cosmopterigidae
Exons: 4
Source: RefSeq, a predicted model, not a curated record
CAAAAAAACAAUGUACAUUUGAAAGCAGACUUGAUUGCUGUACACAACGUGCCUCGUUUUCUACCUUACGCUGUUGCAACUAUUCCCAUACAAUCAUUACAUGGAGAAUUUGAUUGCUUUUUAGGAGUAAGUCGAUCAGAAUACCAUUCACCCUAGAAAAACGAGUCGACGUUGUACCAAAAUAUCAGCAAUUACGAUGUACUAUGUCAAGCCGGACUUAAUGUUAUAGGUUCAUCCACUGACAGUAGUUACCUCCACAUGGACAUAACAGUGUGGAUAUGCGUAGUCGUAGGCAUACUGAUUGUGGGUCUGGUAGCAGCAACUGUAAUAUAUCGGUAUUGGAGACGACGAGUACGAAACAUAGCUACAUCAAGAACUGAGAACAACCAAGAGGGGCCGGUAUACUCGGAGCCGGUAUACACGUACGUGCCGAGUCGAGUGAUCCCGAUGGAACAGGCGCGUGCGCUCGCCGCUGCGAACUGCCGUCUCCCCAAGUACGAGUCCUUCGUGCCUCGCCUGCCUGCCAGGGAGAACGAUUACGAAUACACUUACAUAUCGGAAAUUCGGCCUCGA